UCGAAACCUGCAAAGCAGACUGCAAACACGUAAACAACGAUGCGCACGGCGCGGUAAGGAGGCGACCUCUGGCCGGGCCGGGUGCUAACGAACCCAUCGCAGAAUGCGCCAAGGAAAACUGAAACGAAGCGUCCGCCCCCCACGCCCCAUUCACGGAGCGCGCGGGGUGAUCGACCGUCUAUCUAAAUGUCAUAACGACUCUCGGCAAUGGAUAUCUCGGCUCUCGCAUCGAUGAAAAACGUAGCGAAAUGCGAUACUUGAUGUGAAUUAUAGAAUCCCGUGAACCAUCGAGUUUUUGAAUGCAAGUUACGCCUGAAGCCGUCAGGCCGAUGGCACGUCUGCCUGGGCAUCACGCAUCGCGUCGCCCCCUCCUAGCGCACUGCGUCGGCGAGGCGGGGUGGAUAUUGGCCCCCCAUGCACCCCGGAGCGUGGCCGGCCCAAAUAUGAUCCCCCGGCGACUCAUGUCGCGACAAGUGGUGGUUGAACUUUUCAAUCUCACAGCGUCGCGCUCCUGCAUCGUCCGGAUGGGCAUCAUCGAACGACCCAACGGUGCCUGGCACCUUCGA
RNAcentral lists this ribosomal RNA (566 nucleotides) under Hymenocrater incanus. RNAcentral's name for it is "eukaryotic LSU rRNA". The stretch from base 197 to 352 matches the Rfam family "5.8S ribosomal RNA". The record is from RNAcentral. Lineage: Eukaryota; Viridiplantae; Streptophyta; Magnoliopsida; Lamiales; Lamiaceae.